Molecule: microRNA precursor, 87 nt
Filed under: Branchiostoma floridae (Florida lancelet)
Lineage: Eukaryota; Metazoa; Chordata; Leptocardii; Amphioxiformes; Branchiostomatidae
Description: mir-2060 microRNA precursor family
Rfam family: mir-2060 microRNA precursor family
Source: Rfam by way of RNAcentral
AUUGUGUGGAUGGUGUUCAGCACCAGGGACAGAUAUGUGUGACUAUGUGUGGAUUGUGUUCGGCACCAGGGACAGAUAUGUGUGUCU